CAUAAGUAGCACGACAACCCUGAUGGCAACACGUUGAUGGAUGAUCAUGGUGUGGAGCCGGUAACAAGAAGAUCGUGCCGGUGCUUUGGUGAUGGAGAUCAAGAAGCACGUGAUGAUGGCCAUAUCAUGUCACUUAUGAAUUGCAUGUGAUGUUAAUCCUUUCCUGCACCUUAUUUUGCUUAGAACGACGGUAGCAUUAUGAGGUGAUCUCUCACUAAAAUUUCAAG
Molecule: long non-coding RNA, 227 nt
Filed under: Hordeum vulgare
Lineage: Eukaryota; Viridiplantae; Streptophyta; Magnoliopsida; Poales; Poaceae
Description: long non-coding RNA (HVUL_LNC020045)
Source: RNAcentral